AUGCCGCGUGAGUGAUGAAGGCCUUAGGGUUGUAAAGCUCUACGGAUAAUGACAGUACCUGGAGAAUAAGCUCCGGCUAACGGCCAGCAGCCGCGGUAAUACGGAGGGAGCUAGCGUUGUUCGGAAUUACUGGGCGUAAAGCGCGCGUAGGCGGCUAUCCAAGUCAGGGGUGAAAUCCCGGGGCUCAACCCCGGAACUGCCCUUGAAACUAGGUAGCUAGAAUACUGAGAGGUGAGUGGAAUUCCGAGUGUAGAGGUGAAAUUCGUAGAUAUUCGGAAGAACACCAGUGGCGAAGGCGACUCACUGGACAGUUAUUGACGCUGAGGUGCGAAAGCGUGGGGAGCACGAUUAGAUACCCUGGUAGUCCACGCCGUAAACGAUGCUGCUUCCGGGCUCAUAGAGCUUGGGUGGCGCAGCUAACGCAUUAAGUUACCCUGGGGAGUCGG
RNAcentral lists this ribosomal RNA (446 nucleotides) under Erythrobacter sp. 2WS16. RNAcentral describes it as "bacterial SSU rRNA". It matches the Rfam family "Bacterial small subunit ribosomal RNA", at positions 394 to 884 of the family's 1533-position model. Lineage: Bacteria; Pseudomonadati; Pseudomonadota; Alphaproteobacteria; Sphingomonadales; Erythrobacteraceae. The record is from RNAcentral.